AUUGAACGCUGGCGGCAUGCCUUACACAUGCAAGUCGAACGGCAGCACGGGAGCAAUCCUGGUGGCGAGUGGCGAACGGGUGAGUAAAGUAUCGGAACGUGCCCAGUCGUGGGGGAUAACGUAGCGAAAGUUACGCUAAUACCGCAUACGAUCUAUGGAUGAAAGCGGGGGAUCGCAAGACCUCGCGCGAUUGGAGCGGCCGAUAUCAGAUUAGGUAGUUGGUGGGGUAAAGGCUCACCAAGCCGACGAUCUGUAGCUGGUCUGAGAGGACGACCAGCCAAACUGGGACUGAGACACGGCCCAGACUCCUACGGGAGGCAGCAGUGGGGAAUUUUGGACAAUGGGCGAAAGCCUGAUCCAGCCAUGCCGCGUGCAGGAUGAAGGCCUUCGGGUUGUAAACUGCUUUUGUACGGAACGAAAAGGUUUGGCCUAAUAAGCUGAGCUCAUGACGGUACCGUAAGAAUAAGCACCGGCUAACUACGUGCCAGCAGCCGCGGUAA
Molecule: ribosomal RNA, 500 nt
Filed under: uncultured bacterium
Lineage: Bacteria
Description: partial 16S ribosomal RNA
Rfam family: Bacterial small subunit ribosomal RNA
Source: RNAcentral